Molecule: long non-coding RNA, 217 nt
Filed under: Bos taurus (domestic cattle)
Lineage: Eukaryota; Metazoa; Chordata; Mammalia; Artiodactyla; Bovidae
Description: long non-coding RNA NONBTAT023948
Source: RNAcentral
ACCGUCUAACGCACACCCCAGACUUUUACCUCCCAGGCUUUGGUGUCAGGGCUGAUUCCCACGAGUCAUCUUAACAUUCCAAAGCAGCUAGCUACCAGCCUCCUGAUGUUUGUCGUUUCCCAGGCCUGUCUCCAUCGUUGCUUUUUUUGUUCGUUCGUUUCCAGUGAAGCUGCUGUGGUGAAACUGAGAGAAGAAAAAAAAUAAAACCUUGCCCAGG